Molecule: ribosomal RNA, 254 nt
Filed under: uncultured bacterium
Lineage: Bacteria
Description: partial 16S ribosomal RNA
Rfam family: Bacterial small subunit ribosomal RNA
Source: RNAcentral
UACAGAGGUCCCAAGCGUUGUUCGGAUUCAUUGGGCGUAAAGGGUGCGUAGGUGGCGCUGUAAGUCGGGUGUGAAAUUUCGGAGCUUAACUCCGAAACUGCAUUCGAUACUGCGGUGCUUGAGGACUGGAGAGGAGACUGGAAUUUACGGUGUAGCAGUGAAAUGCGUAGAUAUCGUAAGGAAGACCAGUGGCGAAGGCGGGUCUCUGGACAGUUCCUGACGCUGAGGCACGAAGGUCAGGGGAGCAAACGGGG